This 30-nucleotide non-coding RNA is filed under the name Rattus norvegicus (Norway rat). The record is from RNAcentral. Lineage: Eukaryota; Metazoa; Chordata; Mammalia; Rodentia; Muridae.
UGGCCUUUCUUGUAGUUACUUUUACACUGC